Molecule: long non-coding RNA, 345 nt
Organism: Ceratitis capitata (Mediterranean fruit fly)
Lineage: Eukaryota; Metazoa; Arthropoda; Insecta; Diptera; Tephritidae
Exons: 3
Source: RefSeq, a predicted model, not a curated record
UACAAAAAAAAAUGCAUAAUAAUAAUAAACAAACGAACUUAACAAAUGAACAAUUAAUGUAAGAAACCGCAAAUCUUAAAGGAAACCGCACCCGCCAAGGAUAUACAAACACAAAAGAUAGAACUUAAGGCACAAAGCAAAGUGGGCUCUUUGGAUAACAUAAAGCACAAGCCCGGUGGUGGGGAGAGGAAAAUUUUUGACGAUAAGGACUAUUUGAAAAAUGUUGAGCAUACAGUUGCACUGACACCACCGACACAGAGUCCACAACCAUCCAUGACGACUUCAACAACUGGUGCCGAUGAAAAUUUAAAUCAGCAGAGUUAAAUUAAUUAAUUAAGCACGAAA